GUGGCGGUUGCGCCGCGGCGAAGCCGUCUCGGCUGUGGCCGCCGACGAAGGGUGGUCAUCGGCGGAGGUGUUCUCGCGCGCCUUCCGCCGCAC
RNAcentral lists this transfer RNA (93 nucleotides) under Mycolicibacterium pulveris. RNAcentral's name for it is "tRNA-Pro". The record is from RNAcentral. Lineage: Bacteria; Bacillati; Actinomycetota; Actinomycetes; Mycobacteriales; Mycobacteriaceae.